GACCUGGUGGUGAAAUGUAUCACACCCACGCUGCCUACAACACCAAACUCGUUGUUGUGGAAAUCCCUGGUUUGAAUCCAGGCCAGGUCA
Mycena leptocephala is the source of this 90-nucleotide non-coding RNA. Lineage: Eukaryota; Fungi; Basidiomycota; Agaricomycetes; Agaricales; Mycenaceae. The record is from the annotation of a GenBank genome assembly.